This 465-nucleotide ribosomal RNA is filed under the name uncultured bacterium. RNAcentral describes it as "partial 16S ribosomal RNA". It matches the Rfam family "Bacterial small subunit ribosomal RNA", at positions 29 to 507 of the family's 1533-position model. The record is from RNAcentral.
AACGAACGCUGGCGGCGUGCUUAACACAUGCAAGUCGAACGGAAAGGCCCUGCUUGCAGGGUCCUCGAGUGGCGAACGGGUGAGUAACACGUGGGUACUCUGCCCUCCACUUCUGGAUAAGCCUGGGAAACGGGGUCUAAUACCGAAUAGGAGCCAUUUUUAGCGUGAUGGUUGGAAAGUUUUUUCGGUGUAGGAUGAGCUCGCGGCCUAUCAGCUUGUUAGCGGGGUAAUGGCCUACCAGGGCGGCGAGGGGAAGCCGGCCUGCGAGGGUGGACGGCCACAUUGGGACUGAGCUACGGCCAAGACUCCUACGGGAGGCAGCAGUGGGGAAUAUUGCACAAUGGGCGCAAGCCUGAGGCAGCGACGCCGCGUGGGGGAUGACGGCCUUUGUGUGGUAAAAUACUUUCGCGAGGGACGAAGCUUUUUGUGACGGUACCUAGAUAAGAAGCACCGGCUAACUACGUG